UACAGAGGUCUCAAGCGUUGUUCGGAUUCAUUGGGCGUAAAGGGUGCGUAGGUGGCGCCGUAAGUCGGGUGUGAAAUUUCGGAGCUUAACUCCGAAACUGCAUUCGAUACUGCGGUGCUUGAGGACUGGAGAGGAGACUGGAAUUCAUGGUGUAGCAGUGAAAUGCGUAGAGAUCAUGAGGAAGACCAGUGGCGAAGGCGGGUCUCUGGACAGUUCCUGACACUGAGGCACGAAGGCCAGGGUAGCGAACGGG
Molecule: ribosomal RNA, 253 nt
Filed under: uncultured bacterium
Lineage: Bacteria
Description: partial 16S ribosomal RNA
Rfam family: Bacterial small subunit ribosomal RNA
Source: RNAcentral